GGGGCCGUAGUCUAGCCAGGUAUGACGACAACUGAUGACAUUAGUCGUUAAGGGCUCCAGAAGAAUAUUAUGGGUUUGCGGACCAAAUUAAUGGGAUGAAGAACUUUAGGAGCGUGUGAAGAAACCCGUAGGUCAAGGGUUCAACUCCCUUCGGCCCCA
Molecule: transfer RNA, 159 nt
Filed under: Candidatus Bathyarchaeota archaeon
Lineage: Archaea; Thermoproteati; Candidatus Bathyarchaeota
Description: tRNA-OTHER
Source: RNAcentral